GACGUAGGGGGCCAGCGUUGUUCGGAAUUACUGGGUGUAAAGGGUUCGUAGGCGGUGUGGCAAGUCGGGAGUGAAAUCUCUGGGCUCAACCCAGAGUCUGCUUCCGAAACUGCUGUGCUUGAGUGUGGGAGAGGCGCGUGGAAUUGCAGGUGUAGCGGUGAAAUGCGUAGAUAUCUGCAGGAACACCCGUGGCGAAAGCGGCGCGCUGGACCACUACUGACGCUGAGGAACGAAAGCGUGGGUAGCAAACAGG
RNAcentral lists this ribosomal RNA (253 nucleotides) under uncultured bacterium. RNAcentral describes it as "partial 16S ribosomal RNA". It matches the Rfam family "Bacterial small subunit ribosomal RNA", at positions 524 to 776 of the family's 1533-position model. The record is from RNAcentral.